UACGGAGGGGGUUAGCGUUGUUCGGAAUUACUGGGCGUAAAGCGCGCGUAGGCGGAUUAGAAAGUUGGGGGUGAAAUCCCGGGGCCCAACCUCGGAACUGCCUCCAAAACUGCUAGUCUAGAGUUCGAGAGAGGUGAGUGGAAUUCCGAGUGUAGAGGUGAAAUUCGUAGAUAUUCGGAGGAACACCAGUGGCGAAGGCGGCUCACUGGCUCGAUACUGACGCUGAGGUGCGAAAGUGUGGGGAGCAAACAGG
This 253-nucleotide ribosomal RNA is filed under the name uncultured bacterium. RNAcentral's name for it is "partial 16S ribosomal RNA". It matches the Rfam family "Bacterial small subunit ribosomal RNA", at positions 524 to 776 of the family's 1533-position model. The record is from RNAcentral.